RNAcentral lists this ribosomal RNA (497 nucleotides) under uncultured bacterium. RNAcentral's name for it is "partial 16S ribosomal RNA". It matches the Rfam family "Bacterial small subunit ribosomal RNA", at positions 28 to 507 of the family's 1533-position model. The record is from RNAcentral.
GAGGAACGCUGGCGGCGUGCCUAAUACAUGCAAGUCGAGCGAACAGACGAGGAGCUUGCUCCUCUGACGUUAGCGGCGGACGGGUGAGUAACACGUGGAUAACCUACCUAUAAGACUGGGAUAACUUCGGGAAACCGGAGCUAAUACCGGAUAAUAUAUUGAACCGCAUGGUUCAAUAGUGAAAGACGGUUUUGCUGUCACUUAUAGAUGGAUCCGCGCCGCAUUAGCUAGUUGGUAAGGUAACGGCUUACCAAGGCAACGAUGCGUAGCCGACCUGAGAGGGUGAUCGGCCACACUGGAACUGAGACACGGUCCAGACUCCUACGGGAGGCAGCAGUAGGGAAUCUUCCGCAAUGGGCGAAAGCCUGACGGAGCAACGCCGCGUGAGUGAUGAAGGUCUUCGGAUCGUAAAACUCUGUUAUUAGGGAAGAACAAAUGUGUAAGUAACUAUGCACGUCUUGACGGUACCUAAUCAGAAAGCCACGGCUAGCUACGUG